RNAcentral lists this microRNA precursor (96 nucleotides) under Ruminococcus flavefaciens. Its description in RNAcentral is "microRNA mir-598". Lineage: Bacteria; Bacillati; Bacillota; Clostridia; Eubacteriales; Oscillospiraceae. The record is from RNAcentral.
UCAUGAUGAUGAUGUUCGUGCUCAUCAUGGUCGUGAUCGUGAUGAUGAUGUUCAUGCUCCUCAUGAUCGUGGUCAUGGUGGUGAUGAUCGUGAUGU